CUCUGUUCUUAAGAAGUGAGUUAUUUUCGUGUGAGUUAUUUAUAGAAACUUGUUAGUAAGUUGUUAUGAAAGGGGAGAUGUUUAUUCUGUCGUUGAAUUAGAUCGGGAAGAAAAGAAAAAGAUGAUUUAGAUAUUGAAUUGAGGUUAGGGUUUCUGGAAUUAGGGUUCUUGUAGAACUGAUGAUGAUAAAGUGACAUUCUUGGAUGAAGAGAAGAGGGGUUGUUGUUGAUUUGAUGAAAUGAAGCUAUUCUGAUGCUGAAUCGAAAUCAGGUGAUUUCGGAAGUAGCAGAAGCGUCGAUUGAAGAUUAUGAGACUGGCAUGCAAGGUUGCAAUGAAGCUGCAAAGAUAUGGAUGCAGGUUGAUUGCUUCAAUGUGCUGCGAAGAAGCGAGCCCCCUCAUUCAUACCUCUGCAGUUUUCGUCGAGCAAGAUUUGAAACGUUCUUUCUUCGCAUGUCUUGGUCUCUCUUGUCUUAACAUUUUAAUGACAUAAUUACCAUAUUAUUUUUCCUUCUUCUUUCUUGACAAUCAAAUAGUUUUUCUGUGCUUUUGCUGGUUCACACGAUUGGCUAUUUAGUGUCUCUUGAAUGCAAUAAAUCAGCCAUAUACAGAUUGCCAAAAGCAUUGCUUUCUGCAUUCGAUAAUAAAUCAUGGAUUCCAGUUACCAACAUACUUCUGCAAUUAUAAAAAAGUUCAGGAUUUGUGUUGUCAAUGUGCAGGUCACAUAUCGAAGUUACAUUGAUCUGUAGAUUUUGUUGCUGGUGCAAGUUCUUUUGAUCAAUGUAAAUGAUUGAAAAUUGGUGGUGAUUACACAAGUUGUGCAAGCUCAUCUCCUUAUCACCCUCCUCCUGCUCCACCUGUUUGGGGAACCAAGGGUAUCUUUCAAUUUUUGUUAUUCUAAAGGUACAUGGCUCUACCUCUUCCAUAUAUGGAGGACCGUCCGCGCCUCCACUAGCGACAAUUGCACCCAUCCCUCUACCACCAACUGGUGGUUAUGCACCUGUCCAGGUGAUGCUAUAAUUUAAUUAAACUCACCUCCAUCGAUCAAGGGGCGUUGGUUGUUUUGUUUUAUCUAUAUUACUGGUAUGUUUUCAAACCACAUAUCAAUUAGAUUUUCAAAAGCUAUUGUUUCUCUUUCGCUGAACUAUAAUUUCCAGUAGCAUUAAAACUCCAUUAGGAAGUGGUAGUAUCAAUUUUUGGCCUCUCACUUGCUACGAAAAGUUUCUGUUUUCUUACCUCAAAGUAGAAUCUCGAACUUGUCAUUUACUUUUGAUGCCUGAAUUUCGCCAGUUUCUUUGUUCAAAACUUCAAAUUGAUUGCAUAUUUAGGUAAAGUGCAUGGUGCAGUUCAUAAUCUCAGUAGCAUGGCAGCUUAAGUAGUAAAUGAAUGGCCAAUCAUCUAAUGAUCUCAAAGUUACAUGGUUAAUAGAAAAUUUUAAUGGCUCAUUAAAAAUUAUCACCAAUGAAACCACAUGUAUGAAUAAUUUAGUCAGUUAGACAAAUGAAAUUGAAAAAUUUGAAAUCCCAUGUGUUCUUUACCCUAUUUUCCCCUGUUUCUAUGAGUUGAACAUUGAGGUAUAUUAUUAGGCUUGACCAUUUGCUCCACUAGCUAUAGGCGUACGUCUUAUGCAUAUCUUUGAUUCUGGCUUUUGGGUAUGUCUUCAAGCAAGGGUUUAUACUGCCAAGAUAGUUUCUGUUGUUUGACAUCUUCAUGAGAGGGGAACCAUGCACCGACAUCUCAAACCUGAAAAUAUCCUUACGGACAGUGAAGGGCAUGUAAGCUCAUGCUCAGAUACAUUAUACCAUGUUUUUGGUGCGUACAAAAUAUCAUGUUCUUACAUUUUAGAAUAUCUGCAGACACAUCUACCAAGGAAGAAAUCAUUGUUGUUGGAGGUAAAAUGUAUGCAUCCAUGUAAAUUCGUUGAUUGGAAGAUGUAAUUAGUCAUACAAAAGGUGCUUGGUCCAUUCAUAGAUUUUUACAGUGACUUCUAUGUUUUUUUGUCUUCAGUUAGGAGGUAUAUAACCCUGCAGUUUGGAUAUGAAAACGCCAAUGGCUUCUCCAACUGGUGACUAAAAGUUGCACGCAGGGGGAUUAGUUAGAUCCUAGUAAUGAAGUUCCUGUAGAUGGAAAGUUAUUAGUGAAAUUACAAGAGCAAGAUAUCAAGGAGCCCAUAAAGACACCAAAGAUUCAUGGCUUCUGCUUUAGAAUUCCUUUUGUUGCAGGUGACUAAUAAUGAAGAGCUUGAAUGUGGAAAGUUAUGAAUUGAUGUGGAGUUACAAGGUAUGAAAGCUCGUUGCUUGUACUAUUUGUGAGAUAACUAGGAACUCAAAUGUAUCAUUCUGGAUUUCCCAUUCUGCCAAGGUUCCAAACUAGACGAUAACCAAGUCUUUGGCUUUUAAGUUUUUCGUUACUGAUUAUGUUCAAAUAUUCUAUACCUGAUAAGUCACUUGAGUCGUUUUCAACAUCUUAUCUUGUAUUUCAGCUUUAGUUUUUAUUUUUUUCCUUGGAUACUAAAUGUUGUUAGUGUUAAUAUUAAAAUUACGAUUUGUAUUGGGGUGCAAAAAAUAAUAAUAUGAAAUAAUUUUGA
Papaver somniferum (opium poppy) is the source of this 2584-nucleotide long non-coding RNA. RefSeq lists it as uncharacterized. NCBI's taxonomy places the organism in Eukaryota, Viridiplantae, Streptophyta, Magnoliopsida, Ranunculales, Papaveraceae. The transcript is spliced from 6 exons. The record is from RefSeq and is a predicted model, not a curated record.